UUGCUGAACAUUUUGCUCCAAACUCUCCAAGUCACCCACGUGUUUGUUCUCCCCUUUUGCUGUUCAAUUUACUUCUCCACAUGACGAAGAGAAACACGAGUUGUUCUCAGGCUUUUAGCUGCAAUCCUGGGACCAGCCUUUCAAACUCCCCACUCCUCCCUAGUUAGAGCAGCCCCACCGACCCUCCUCCCAAUGGGGUGAGUGGACAGAUGACUGGGUGCUUUCGCCGGUCAAAUCCCGCAAAACCUUCACCUUCUCUUCUCCACACAGAGCAAACUGAUUUUGCCUGUUUAGUCUCACUAGCCAGGGUGGUAUGGAAGUGGGUGGGGAGAGGGCUGGUGCGCGGCACAGAAAACUGGGAAGCGCGCGCACAACACACGCGCGCGCGCACACACACACACACACACACACACACACGGCCCCACUUAACAUUUAUGCAGUACUUUUGGAGGGUCCCUUACACACACCUGAAUAGAAUACUCUCAGUAAAGGAUAGGCACACCCCUGUUUGUCCUCCCCCAAUUUCCAGACUAGCAUUUGACCCUGGGUCUAGAAUUGGUGGUGAUAAGCCGACUUAGAUGGAGUAUUUGAGAAGAGGGGAGGUGACCCUUUGCUUGAAUGGGGGAGGGGGCGCUCUCCACUCACCGCCUGAGUCCCUGGAACGAGGAGGGCCAGGACAUCCUCGAUUUCUUCAGGCCGGGCCGGUGGCCGGUUUCCACCGCGUAGGAGGUGCGGUCCAUGGCGCGACAGUACAGAGAUUCUGAGUUAUAGUGGACAUAUUAACUCUCUUUUGUGGCUGAAGCUGGAAAAAUAGAUUUGUGAAUUGUCAGUCAAUGGAUGACCAGCUAGGGCAGAAUGGAACAGUCUGAGGAUUGAAUUGGACAAAUUAGAAGGAAUCAGAAAAGGACACUGAAGAAAGCUGAACUCUAACCAUCAACUUGUGAAUCAUGGCUUAGCUGGUCUCAAUGGGGAACAAACCAGAGAGUGUAUGGAUCAACACGAAGCUAUAACUGCUUCAUGAAAAGAACUUUGCAGGGCACCGAUCACCUUCUCUGACAAAUGAAGGCAACUUAUUACUUAAGAGCUACAAGAGGUAGUGAAAGGCCAGUAAACUGUGAUACAGAAGACCUGGAUUCCAAUCCCAAUUCUGUGAUCCUUAAAUUUGUAACCUAUAAUAUAUCAGUUAAACUAUCUGACUUUUAAUGUCCUUAUUAAUUAUUUCAUAUUAAUACUCUCCUAACCUAGCCCUGAAUAUUUAGGGUAUCCAAUAAUAUGUGACUUGGUUGCUCUUGUGUUUUAAGCUUUUAGUACAUAGUUGAUGCUUGCUUAAUAAAAUAUUUGCUGAAUAAAUUGUUAAAA
This is a non-coding RNA of Macaca mulatta (Rhesus monkey), 1359 nucleotides long. The record is from RefSeq and is a predicted model, not a curated record. Lineage: Eukaryota; Metazoa; Chordata; Mammalia; Primates; Cercopithecidae.